UCCUGCAGGGAGAGACAGACAGUGAGGGAGCCAGCCCUGCUGGGGAUGGAAAAACGGGGAGGGGAGAAGGCUCUAUAUAACCACCCCUCCACCCUUGCUUUGAGACGUGCAGACGGGGGUCUUGCUGAGCCAGAUGGACGGGCAGGCAGACAGAUGGACAGACAGACAACCUGGGAACUUACCGGUGCAGUGGUGAUGGUCUCCAUGGCUUUUGCUUUGCUCCUUCUGUAGGGAUGGAUUGGUCUCAGCAAGAGGAAUAUGCCUGAAAGCCUUAAGUAUGACCAAAAGGAGCCAUAUCUUCAUCACGGCCAUUUCUUCUAUCACAGAGCUCCCGUGGGACAUCUCUCAAGAAAACAAGACGGGAUGGAUCAGAGAACCGGCAACACAUAUCCACCGGAUAAUUAGAUUGAAAGAAAACCACCCCUCUGAAGACAAUGAGAUGAUAAAAGAGAUCAAGGUCCCUGGGAAAACUUAAUCCUUCCCUGUUUUCCAUUACUUCUCAGGUUAUUUCACUCCGCUAUUAAGAAAUGUGAUGUGCUGAUGAGUAGGAGAGAAAGCUUCUGGACUUGUGAGGGAAAAAGAGGAGUUGGGUUGUGUGAGGACAGUCUAUUAAAGAUUCAGCAGUUGUACAAGCCCCACAGGUAGAGUCUCCUGGGAUUCCUGGUAGAACGAGGCUGAUUAAAGCCUGGCACUGGAGAUGUCCUGCAGCCACCUCCAAAAACAGAAGAUAGAAAUGGUUUCUAAGGAGCUGCCUCUCCACCCAAACCCCAUACUGGUAUGUGUCUCAUUGACCACCAGGAGACCUGGAAAUCUCUCCCCAAAACCUUGGGAAAUAACAACUAAAGUGAGUUUGUUUCCCCAUAUGUUGUCAUACAAUCAUUAAGCUUGGAAGAGACCUCCAAGAUCAUCCAGUCCAACCCUCCACCUACCACCAACGCUGCCCACUAAACCACAUCUCUCAGUACCACACUGACACCUUUCUUCAGCAUCUCUGGAGAUCUCAAGCCCAGAUAUCUCUUCAGAGCUCUGCACCUACAACUGUCACCUCUACAUUCAUAGGAGGAAGGGACCAGGCACUCACAGGCCAGCAAAAAUCCACCCAGCUCAGUGAAACUGCAGCAAUUUACUGCAGCUGACAGGAGCGAGUAUUGAUGUUGUCACCAUCACCCAGGGUCAUUCGCACCACAGUGUGGCUUUCUCUCUCUCUUUCAUGUUGAGAUUUGCUCUUAGGCUUUUUCCUUGCAGGGAGUUUGAUGGAUGAAAAACCUAGUGCGUGAGUUUGAUGCAAGGGGAGGUGUUUGGAGACUGCUUUCGUCUCUGGCUGUAUCAAUAAUUAAUAUGUUGAUCCAGAGCAAUAUUAUAAUCAGGGUAAAUAUAUUUUUUUUUUCUAUCCCCUGGUUUUCUAUUCAGUAAACAGCAAAAGAAAAAUAACUGCUGCUGUCACUGCUCAAUGAGCUUCCCAGAGUCACAGCCAACCGCUUCCACCACUUCCAUGAUGGACUAAGAAGUCCAUCCCCCUCCCCUCAGUCUUCUUGUUUUUAGCUUUUCCAGACAGGGUAUUCCUGCAAGAUUAAGGUUUGACUUUUUAAAGCUUCUGUUUUAUUGGAAAGGCCACAUCUCCCAAAUACAAUGGCCAUGUGUCCCAUGAGCCCAUCUGUGUUUUGUGGGCAGCUGGAGGACCACUGCAUGGGGGCAGAAGCGUAGACAGGAAUCUCACUACAAGCAACAGUUUCUCAGAUUCAUCCUAUUCACAGUUUUCAUUCUUUGUCCACUUUUCAGUCUUAGUUUCUCUAACACCACUAUAUGGGCUUAGAAAUCACAUCCCAUCUCAGCGUGUCCAUUAGAGUUGAGGAGUUAUUGGGAGGAGAGGCUGAAGCAUCACUGACAGAGUUUUCAGCAGCUAAAUGUCCAACCUUUUUAUCCUCACAGCAAGCAAAGGGCAGUUUUCCAGAGGCAUUUGGCACUCGACUUACUCAGUGCUGACCUAAAACAUUUUGGCCUCGAUGCUGAAACAGUUUCUGAGGUCGAUUCAUCAGCGGGCUCCAGUUUAUUCUCAAGAACGCCACUGCUGACAUGAUCCACCUGAGACCAAUUAUACCCAUGGCCUUUGAACUUCUUCAAUAUGCAGAUUGGACUUUCUUCCUCCUCCUCUCCUGCAAAGUUGACUCUGUCUUCUGUGCUGCUCCUUGAGGUUCUGUGGUCCAAAUUAAAAUAUCAUCUGCUGUAACUUCAGCACCUCCUAAUCCCUCAAAUAUCUGCUAAAUUACUCUUUGAAAUACCUUGGGAGCAGAACUAAUUCCAGAUGGCAUUAGCUUAAAUUUGCAAUGUCCAACUGGUGUAUUAAAAAUCACCAGCUUUGAGCCCCAUUCAUCUAAUUUUACUGGCUUUAAUAGAUAUUCUGCCUUCCUGCUGAGAGUAUUUCUGCUUCUGAGAACAUUGCUAACUCUUCAUUAAGGGUUUCCAGCAGAUAAUGUCUCCGUUUGAAAGGUUCUAUUUAAACCAUAUAGAUCAACCUGCACCUGUGAUUUAUCUGGCUUUUUGUUUCAUAUCCUAGUUAAUCCACUAGGUUCAGCCUAGUCUGCUGGUUGAUGGAGUCCAGAGGGAUGACACACAACAGUGGUUUGGUGUUGAUGCAGGAGGCAAUCCCAGGACUAGCUGAGGAACUGAGCUUAUUUCAUCCCUACAGUUUCGUCUCCUUUCCUCUCUGCCAGCAGAAGCAGGAGGAGCUGCUUUGUCUGCAGCCCUAAAUUCCCCCAAAGGGACACCUUUCUCCAGACUUCCUUCAGGAUUUGAGACAUCCAAGUCUGCCAAGUCAGAUCCAAGCUGGAUCUCAACUGGGUUCCCUCUGAUGGUGGAGAUGGCAUCUUCCAUUGCAUCUCCAGCCAUUGCUGGGCACAUCUUGGAGUGCAGAUGGACCCGCUCAGUACUGGGGCUUGCCUACAUUUUGGAAAAUGGGAAUUGGUCUCCUUGAGCCAAAAUGCGAACAUUGAAGCUUGAGUACACUAUGAGAAAUUAGAAGGAUUCACUGCUUAUAUGGUACCCAACAGGGAUUCACUCAAGAUUGUACCCAGCACACAGGAGCCAAAAUGAGAAAACAGAAGGGAAAAUAAUAAUAAUAAUUUUUAAAAAGGAGGGAAAACUGAAGAAAAAUGAAAGGAAAGCCCUUAAGGGUUGCUAUCCUGGUGUGAGUGAAAGAGGAUCUGAGCUGUCAUGCGAGUGGCAGGAGAGACAGACAGAGCUGGGGGGUGACGCUGCUCAAUGCUGUCACUGCUGGUUCUGGCAUCCUGGGCUGGUGCAGGUGGGGAUGCUGGGCAGUGCUGGGUUGAAGGCCAGAUGGCAUCUGAUGCCCGCCGUGCCACUGCAGCCCACCAGAUGAUGACGCUUGGUGUUUACAGGCUGCUAGAGCUGCACUGGGCAGUCUGACUUUAAUCCCAUUCCUCCAUCAUCUCAUCCUCACCCUGCCCACGGACACCAUGUCCAGGGCAGCUUCAUUAUUUGCCUUUGUGCUCAGCCAGAGCUCUCUGCUUCCCCUGUGGCAGGAUAUUAACUGGGUUUAAUUUCAAGGAACAAAUCCCCUCUGUCCUCUGGGUUCCACUCUCGUACUCAGGCCAGCUCAUUUCCAGGCUGGCUUCCAGAGGGAAGGGUUGGAGGCCACACGGCAGCUGCUCAGAUGAUGGGGCUGGAGCUGCCAGCAAUUUUCUGCUGUGACCAAAAUGAUCUUUAAUAAAAGCAUGGGGGAUUUCUUAGGUUUUUUAUUUCCUCCUUUUUUCCUUGGACUUUGGGCAAACUGCAGCAAUGAUGGAGCAGUAGGAACUGAGGGAUGGGAAUCAAGGAUGGUUGGAGGUGAGCUGUCCAUGGGAAGGAUGAAUGAGGUUGGGUGGCUCUGGGGACAGGGAGCUCUUGUAGAUGCUUCUCCUGCAUCCUCUUGCAGACUUAAUACAAGAUACACAGGAGAUCAUAGAAUCAUAGAAUCGUUAUGGUUGGAAAAGACCUCUAAGAUCAUCUAGUCCAAUCAUUCACCUACCACCAAUAUAACCCACUGACCACAUCCCUCAGUGCCACGUCUGAGCACAUGCAGGAAUGGUGAUAUUACCAUCUCCCCAUGCAGACUGUGCCAAUGCAUCACCACUCAUUCAGAGUUUUUCCUAACAUCCAGUCCUCCCAAAGGAGAGCAGUGGCAGCAGAGCCCUUUGCCAUGUUGCUGCUGCAGGAGUUUUCUUGCAGACCAUGCAGUUUUACUCAACUGGAAAAAUUCCUAGAAGCCUAUUAACACCAAAAAAA
Coturnix japonica (Japanese quail) is the source of this 4281-nucleotide long non-coding RNA. RefSeq lists it as uncharacterized. The record is from RefSeq and is a predicted model, not a curated record. NCBI's taxonomy places the organism in Eukaryota, Metazoa, Chordata, Aves, Galliformes, Phasianidae.